Molecule: non-coding RNA, 170 nt
Organism: Podarcis lilfordi (Lilford's wall lizard)
Lineage: Eukaryota; Metazoa; Chordata; Lepidosauria; Squamata; Lacertidae
Source: the annotation of a GenBank genome assembly
AGCAGAGCAAGAGGGAGAGCUGCGCAGCGCCUCUUGUUGUGAUGCCUUCACAGCGAUGCACUAUGAGGGACGGAAGGGAGCCCUUACGGAGCCCCUUCCGUCCCUCAUCCUACUUCGCUGGGAAGCCAGCAGACCAAGAGCCGCUGCGCAGCUCUCCCUCUUGCUCUGCU